RNAcentral lists this microRNA (23 nucleotides) under Gekko japonicus. RNAcentral's name for it is "Gja-Mir-1720_5p (mature (guide))". The record is from RNAcentral. Lineage: Eukaryota; Metazoa; Chordata; Lepidosauria; Squamata; Gekkonidae.
UGAUCACCUCCAUUGUUGCUUUU